RNAcentral lists this ribosomal RNA (253 nucleotides) under uncultured bacterium. Its description in RNAcentral is "partial 16S ribosomal RNA". It matches the Rfam family "Bacterial small subunit ribosomal RNA", at positions 524 to 776 of the family's 1533-position model. The record is from RNAcentral.
GACAGAGGGUGCAACCGUUGCUCGGAAUCACUGGGCGUAAAGGGCGUGUAGGCGGGAAGGAAAGUCAGAUGUGAAAUCCCUGGGCUCAAACCAGGAACUGCAUUUGAAACUCCCUUUCUUGAGUGUCGGAGAGGAAAGCGGAAUUCCUGGUGUAGAGGUGAAAUUCGUAGAUAUCAGGAGGAACACCGGUGGCGAAGGCGGCUUUCUGGACGACAACUGACGCUGAGACGCGAAAGCGUGGGGAGCAAACAGG